UAAUACAUGCAAGUCGAACGCGUCUCCGUUAAUGAUUUUAGGUGCUUGCACUUGAAAGAUUUAACAUUGAGACGAGUGGCGAACUGGUGAGUAACACGUGGGUAACCUGCCCUUGAAGUAGGGGAUAACACUUGGAAACAGGUGCUAAUACCGUAUAACAACCAAAACCACCUGGUUUUGGUUUAAAAGACGGCUUCGGCUGUCACUUUAGGAUGGACCCGCGGCGUAUUAGCUUGUUGGUAAGGUAACGGCCUACCAAGGCGAUGAUACGUAGCCGACCUGAGAGGGUAAUCGGCCACAUUGGGACUGAGACACGGCCCAAACUCCUACGGGAGGCAGCAGUAGGGAAUCUUCCACAAUGGACGAAAGUCUGAUGGAGCAACGCCGCGUGAGUGAUGAAGGGUUUCGGCUCGUAAAACUCUGUUGUUGGAGAAGAACAGGUGUCAGAGUAACUGUUGACAUCUUGACGGUAUCCAACCAGAAAGCCACGGCUAACUACGUGCCAGCAGCCGCGGUAAUACGUAGGUGGCAAGCGUUGUCCGGAUUUAUUGGGCGUAAAGCGAGCGCAGGCGGUUUUUUAGGUCUGAUGUGAAAGCCUUCGGCUUAACCGGAGAAGUGCAUCGGAAACCGGGAGACUUGAGUGCAGAAGAGGACAGUGGAACUCCAUGUGUAGCGGUGAAAUGCGUAGAUAUAUGGAAGAACACCAGUGGCGAAGGCGGCUGUCUGGUCUGUAACUGACGCUGAGGCUCGAAAGCA
This 756-nucleotide ribosomal RNA is filed under the name Lentilactobacillus buchneri. RNAcentral describes it as "bacterial SSU rRNA". It matches the Rfam family "Bacterial small subunit ribosomal RNA", at positions 49 to 761 of the family's 1533-position model. Lineage: Bacteria; Bacillati; Bacillota; Bacilli; Lactobacillales; Lactobacillaceae. The record is from RNAcentral.